Molecule: unclassified non-coding RNA, 253 nt
Filed under: uncultured Candidatus Peribacteria bacterium
Lineage: Bacteria; Candidatus Peregrinibacteriota; Candidatus Peribacteria
Description: contains 16S-23S intergenic spacer region
Rfam family: Bacterial small subunit ribosomal RNA
Source: RNAcentral
UACGAGAGGUGCAAGCGUUACUCGGAAUUACUGGGCGUAAAGCGUCCGCAGGUUCCUCGUACAGUCCCGCUGUUAAAGUACAGAGCUCAACUCUGUGAUGCACGGGAAACUCACGAGGUAGAGUCAUACAGAGGCAUCUGGAAUGCCGUGUGUAGGGGUAAAAUCCGUUGAUCCACGGUAGAACGCCAAAAGUGAAGACAGGAUGCUGGGUAUGUACUGACACUCAUGGACGAAAGCGUGGGGAGCGAAGGGG